Molecule: ribosomal RNA, 290 nt
Filed under: Serratia sp. (in: enterobacteria)
Lineage: Bacteria; Pseudomonadati; Pseudomonadota; Gammaproteobacteria; Enterobacterales; Yersiniaceae
Description: Serratia sp. partial 16S ribosomal RNA
Rfam family: Bacterial small subunit ribosomal RNA
Source: RNAcentral
GACUGCCAGUGAUAAACUGGAGGAAGGUGGGGAUGACGUCAAGUCAUCAUGGCCCUUACGAGUAGGGUUACACACGUGCUACAAUGGCGUAUACAAAGAGAAGCGACCUCGCGAGAGCAAGCGGACCUCAUAAAGUACGUUGUAGUCCGGAUUGGAGUCUGCAACUCGACUCCAUGAAGUCGGAAUCGCUAGUAAUCGUAGAUCAGAAUGCUACGGUGAAUACGUUCCCGGGCCUUGUACACACCGCCCGUCACACCAUGGGAGUGGGUUGCAAAAGAAGUAGGUAGCUU